Girardinichthys multiradiatus is the source of this 1961-nucleotide long non-coding RNA. RefSeq lists it as uncharacterized. NCBI's taxonomy places the organism in Eukaryota, Metazoa, Chordata, Actinopteri, Cyprinodontiformes, Goodeidae. The transcript has 2 exons. The record is from RefSeq and is a predicted model, not a curated record.
CAUUGCUCUAUCUCAGCAGGCAAAUCUAUAAAGUAAUCCUGUUCACCUGUGCUCAGAUCAAAUUCUAUUCAGAGAAAGAACUUCAGCUGAAAGCUUCUCCAAAGGCACCACUGCUGUAUAUCUUCAUUUGCCUUUGACUGAAGCUGCAGACGUCCAUCGGCUGUUACCCUGAGGGGAAUGGAGGAAGAGACUGGCAGAGGAAAGACAGGCAAGGAAAUAGGAACUUUGAGCAGGAGGAGAAGAAGCAGAGUUAUCCACGGUCUUAUUACGGUGGGAAAUGUAAGGGUCUUGAUCCAAAGGAAUGAUGAAGGACUCUGUGGAGGAGGCCUCUGAGAACCAACAAAGACUGCUUUAGUUUCACUGGCAGAAUGCAUUUGCAUAGCUUAGAAGCCAAAACGUCUGAACCGGGGCUCAUGAAAAGGGAACCUCAGCAAUUGCUUGGACUUCAAUGCAAACUAGAGGGAGCAGGAGACAGAAGGAGAAAAAAGGAAGCAGAAGUGGGAUUGUGUGGAAAGAAAGCAGGAGGAACUUUUUUCUUCUCUUCAGCAGCACAAUACAAAUGAGAUCAGGGACAUCUGUGCAUCCCAUGGAGGUUGUCUGACUGACUUUGAUGCAAAGAGAACAUAGUGAAGGCGGUUCGUCUCCUGGAACAGUAACAAGCGCAACAGCAUUUCCAUGCAAUCAUAAAAGUCAUGUUCCAUUGUAGCUUUUUGAUACUAACAGUUAGAGCCUUUUAGCUGUCACUACCAUUACACACAAAUGCUCCUUGGACUACUUAACUGGGUUGUAGACCACAUAUUUAGAUUUGCUGCAAUGAAGGAGCAACUUUUGACUGAAUGGAAACAACACAAGGGUGAGUAGAGUUCAAUAUAACAAAGCAAUAUGUAGGAGAAAUGUGAUGAAUAACUGAAAAAUCCUGCACAAGAUAAUGGAAGGUGGAAGAAACAAAGAGAAUAAGAUGUUGGUACUUUAGUGGCAGCUCACUCUCUCUUUGGCCUGCGGUCAUGGUGGGAUGACUAGCCUUCAUCAAUUCUCUUUAAUGACUGUGGCAGCACCACUUAACACACUGCUAUGUGAUUUCUUCAUUACUGCAUCAUGAUAUCACCAUUUAGUCAAUGACGAUGGCAUCAAGUGAUGCCCGCAGAUAAAAAUAACCAGAGAAAAUCUAUUAAAUGUUCAAGUCAUCUGCUUGAGGGUCCAUUUAAAAACCAAAGAAAUGAAAGAUGCACUUAAUGUAACAUAUCAUGCUAUAAAGUCUACUGGCAAAAAACUUCAGUGUAACUAACUGAAGAGAAAAGUACAAGUGUUGUGUAUUUUAUUAGGAAUGGAUCAGUAGGAGAUUAUGAUGGUAUUUAAUAUUGACCUAAAAUUUAAAAACACUUUUUUGCUACAUUAUUCAUGAUUUUUACUAGGGCUGAUUUACCGCAGGAUUAAAAAAAGCCAUAUUUUUUGUCACAAUAAAGUCUGUCUCCCGAAGGGCUAUCCAGUUGUUAUCACCUCACAGUUUUAUCAUAUCUAAAAAUGUGUAUUCUAAGUUUUCCCUCAAAAAUUGCUAAAAUCUUGUCUGGUCUUAUGACAUGGAAAAACGUUUUAAACCGAGAAGUUUGUCUACAUAAAUUUUCUUCCUGCCUCUACACACAAACUGACUGAAGGUGGUGGAAGGGCAAAUGCUGCUCUAUUCCGUUAAUGUUUAAACAGUAAAGUGCAUGCAUUGUAUUGUGUGUUGACGUUUUUAUUGUCUUCUUUAAUGUAUGGGAAUGCUUCAAAUUAAUUUCCUAUUAUUAUAAAUUACUAUCAACUAAAAUUAUUGAUGAUUGGCAUGUUAUUAAAAGGUGUUUAACACACAGUAUCUGUAAAUUGAAGUCUCUUUAUAAAACCAAAGAAUGCUUUGGAACCUUUAACUGUAUCCAGUGUAAUUAAAGACAACUUUUUGAGAAAGAAAAUCAAAAUGCCAUUGUUUU